GGGGCCAGAGCGUUGGCUCUCCAUGACGUCACCACUUUUCCUCUGAUUGGUCGGUGAGAGCAAAACUCGUAAAACAGGAUCGAGCUGAGGCUCCAACCUGUGAACGCGUCUCGGCUCAGCCCUGGAGCGCAGCCUUCCUCGGUGCCGUACAGUUGCCGCGUCUGAGCCGAGGUCUGCAGGUGCGCCACGGACGCGCAGUCGCUCAGCACGUCCUGCUCCAGAUAAAGCUGUGGCGACAUCCCGUGGGAGAGAUUUUUACAGAAAGCACAAAAAUACUCUGAGAAGUGCGAAGAGAAGUUUGAGAAAUGGAGCUCCCUGGUUCACGUUCUUCCAUGUCACUGUGGUCCCUGUUUUUCCCAUCUUGUAAUUCCCAAGAUCUCGAUCAAUCCAUCAAGAUCUCAACCGGGAUUUACUUGAGUUUUCUCUAUUUACACCCUUUUUUUUUUUUUACGUAGGUUGAAAAAACUACCAAGCCUAUUUUGACAAAGAGUAGAAAGUACAGUUAUCAGUUUUCAAAUGUAGUGAGUAAAAGUAAAAAGUAAACCUAAAUCUCCCUAAGUAUAGAAAUGUGUACUUUGUGACUUCUGACCACUGACUUUCCAGCACUUCCCACCAGUGAGGACACUCCGCCGAGCCGCAAUUCAUUAAACUGGGUCGGACACGCCAAAUCAAGAGGCUCACAAUAAUCAUUUCAGUGUAUGAUUCUCUGCUAUAUUUAAUAAUCGAAUUCCCGCUUCGUGUUUCAGUGCCAAAUUUGUUUGAAAGCAAAAAGCGCGUCUUGUUCCGAGCCAAUCAACCAUCUCGCCGAUGGCAGCAAUCCCGGGGUUCCACUCGUCACGGUUACUCUUCGCUUUUCAUAUUCAUGAAUUUUAUUGCCUUCAUGUAUUUUUUAUUCCCCCCCCCCCCCGUCUUCAUGCACAAAAUACGAGUCGUAGCCCCGCGCACACAAUUCUUUUAGCGUGACGGUAAAUUACAAUGUAAUAUUUCCGAGCUAAAUUCCAUCUUUAUUUCCUGGCUUUUCUUUCAGUCACGCACGGGCAAAGCUAAAUUGUUUGGCGCUGCAACGGCUGACUGCUGAUGGGAUUUCUUUUUUUUUAUAAAUCUAAGCGACAGCUAAGAGGUGUCACUGUCUGACGCAGUGCAAUGAAAUGCACAGUUAAAGAGAAAACAAAAGUAUACAGAUGGGUUUUGUUUUGUUUUGACUUUUGCCCUAAUAACAGAACCAACUGGAAAUGAAACUCUGCCAAACGUUUUCUAUGCUAAACUGAGUCCAAAGCGGAACAAAUGUGAAUAAACAUAAAAGAUGUUUUGAAAGUGAAAGGGCUCAGAGAUGAUUGCGUCAGCCUGUCGGCAGGGGAUCUUGCUCUUAAGAUGGAGAAAUGGGAAUAGAAAUCAUCAUUUGAUGUACUAGAUCCUUCAAUGUCCCACCAAUACAUUUGCUACCCCUUAUGCAAUGCACUGUAAAAUUCCUGUUUAUCUGUAUAUUUUAAACUGAAUUAAAAUGAUUUGACUUACUAGAAUUUGAUCGUUCCCGUCUUGAUAAAGAUGAUGGUAAAACCAAUUACGGAAUUACUUCAUUGAUCCAAACAGCUCUGUUUUGGACUGUGGUUGGAAGUAAUAAAGUACAAAUACUUGGUUACCGUA
This is a long non-coding RNA of Phyllopteryx taeniolatus (common seadragon), 1644 nucleotides long. RefSeq lists it as uncharacterized. The transcript is spliced from 4 exons. The record is from RefSeq and is a predicted model, not a curated record. NCBI's taxonomy places the organism in Eukaryota, Metazoa, Chordata, Actinopteri, Syngnathiformes, Syngnathidae.